GAAGAACAAAAUCAAUACAAAAGGUAUCAGAGAAAGACACUUCUGGAUCUCCUGUUGAAGAAGCAUUUGAUAAGCCUGCUUUCAAUAACGAAAAAGCAAAUGGAGAAUGUGAAGAAAAGGCAUCUGAGAAAGCUGCUUCAGGAUCUGCUACUGAAGAGGUCUCUAAUGAACCUGCUUUGGAUAAUAAAAAAUUAGACGGAGAAUGUGAUGUGCCAGAAGAGAUAACAAAGGACGAACCUGGUAGCAUAUCAGUAGAACCAAUGAAGACCACAGAGUGCAAAGUUCGACAGGAGCUGGAGCCCCCG
RNAcentral lists this unclassified non-coding RNA (305 nucleotides) under Hevea brasiliensis (rubber tree). Lineage: Eukaryota; Viridiplantae; Streptophyta; Magnoliopsida; Malpighiales; Euphorbiaceae. The record is from RNAcentral.